Molecule: ribosomal RNA, 463 nt
Filed under: uncultured bacterium
Lineage: Bacteria
Description: bacterial SSU rRNA
Rfam family: Bacterial small subunit ribosomal RNA
Source: RNAcentral
GACGAACGCUGGCGGCGCGCCUAAUACAUGCAAGUCGUACGGGCACCCUUCGGGGUGUCAGUGGCGGACGGGUGAGUAACACGUGGGUGACCUGCCCUGCAGUGGGGAAUAACUCUGGGAAACCAGAGCUAAUACCGCAUAUGCUUAGUGCAUCAUAGCAUUAAGUAAAGAGAAAUCGCUGCAGGAGGGGCCUGCGCCGGAUUAGCUAGUCGGUGGGGUAAGGCCUACCGAGGCGACGAUCCGUAGCUGGUCUGAGAGGACGACCAGCCACACUGGGACUGAGACACGGCCAGACUCCUACGGGAGGCAGCAGUAAGGAAUAUUCCACAAUGGGCGCAAGCCUGAUGGAGCGACGCCGCGUGAGCGAAGAAGCCCUUGGGGUGUAAAGCUCUUUCAGUGGGAUGAUAAUGACAGUACCACUGGAAUAAGACCUCGGCUAACUACGUGCCAGCAGCCGCCGUAA